Transfer RNA from Colletotrichum orchidophilum, 100 nucleotides. It matches the Rfam family "tRNA". Rfam says of the family: Transfer RNA (tRNA) molecules are approximately 80 nucleotides in length. Their secondary structure includes four short double-helical elements and three loops (D, anti-codon, and T loops). The record is from Rfam. NCBI's taxonomy places the organism in Eukaryota, Fungi, Ascomycota, Sordariomycetes, Glomerellales, Glomerellaceae.
GGACCCGUAACUCAGUUGGUUAGAGUGUGAUGCUUAUACUUCGUUACUACAAUGCCAGUAUGCUUCUUCAAAGUCGAGAGUUCGAACCUCUCCGGGUUCA